UAGGAAUUACGCUCUUUUAUAAUUGUCCAGUAGGUUUCUCUUAAUGAGAAGCCCCC
This 56-nucleotide small nuclear RNA is filed under the name Labrus bergylta (ballan wrasse). RNAcentral describes it as "U7 small nuclear RNA (ENSLBEG00000012146.1)". It matches the Rfam family "U7 small nuclear RNA". Rfam says of the family: Animal histone pre-mRNAs are spliced by a different mechanism than nuclear pre-mRNAs and self-splicing introns. This processing involves the U7 snRNP, which contains only one RNA species: U7. Lineage: Eukaryota; Metazoa; Chordata; Actinopteri; Labriformes; Labridae. The record is from RNAcentral.